UAACAAGGAUUCCCCUAGUAACUGCGAGUGAAGCGGGAAGAGCUCAAAUUUAAAAUCUGGCGGUCUUCUGGCCGUCCGAGUUGUAAUCUGGAGAAGUGUUUUCCGCGUCGGACCGUGUACAAGUCUCCUGGAACGGAGCGUCAUAGAGGGUGAGAAUCCCGUCCAUGACACGGACCACCGAUGCUUUGUGAUACGCUCUCGAAGAGUCGAGUUGUUUGGGAAUGCAGCUCAAAAUGGGUGGUAAAUUCCAUCUAAAGCUAAAUAUUGGCGAGAGACCGAUAGCGAACAAGUACCGUGAGGGAAAGAUGAAAAGCACUUUGGAAAGAGAGUUAAACAGUACGUGAAAUUGUUGAAAGGGAAACGCUUGAAGUCAGUCGCGUCUCACGGAACUCAGCCUUACUUCGGUCUGGUGUACUUUCUGUGUGGACGGGUCAACGUCAAUUUUGGUCGGCGGAGAAAGGUUGAGGGAAUGUGGCGUUGUUUCGGCGACGUGUUAUAGCCCUCUUCCGCAUACGUCGGCUGGGAUUGAGGACCGCAGCGCGCCUUUAAUGGCCGGGGGUUCGCCCUACGUACCGCGCUUAGGAUGUUGGCAUAAUGGCUUUAAGCGACCCGUCUUGAAACACGGACCAAGGAGUCUAACAUGCUUGCGAGUGUUCGGGUGGAAAACCCUUGCGCGUAAUGAAAGUGAAAGUUGGGAGCCUCCGCAAGGGGGUGCACCGACGCCCGGCCCUGAAGUUCUCUGACGGUGCUGCGGUAGAGCACGUAUGUUGGGACCCGAAAGAUGGUGAACUAUGCCUGAAUAGGGCGAAGCCAGAGGAAACUCUGGUGGAGGCUCGUAGCGAUUCUGACGUGCAAAUCGAUCGUCAAAUUUGGG
This 874-nucleotide ribosomal RNA is filed under the name Inonotus leporinus. Its description in RNAcentral is "partial 28S ribosomal RNA". It matches the Rfam family "Eukaryotic large subunit ribosomal RNA", at positions 66 to 915 of the family's 3401-position model. The record is from RNAcentral. Lineage: Eukaryota; Fungi; Basidiomycota; Agaricomycetes; Hymenochaetales; Hymenochaetaceae.